Molecule: unclassified non-coding RNA, 3094 nt
Filed under: Acromyrmex echinatior (Panamanian leafcutter ant)
Lineage: Eukaryota; Metazoa; Arthropoda; Insecta; Hymenoptera; Formicidae
Description: thioredoxin domain-containing protein 11, transcript variant X4
Source: RNAcentral
UAUUAGUUCAACAUCUUAAUACUCAGACCGUAGUGGCGCUUCGGAUUGUAAUGUUAUAGAACGAUAGUAGUUGACUAGAGAGGUGAAGAGACGGGUUGCUUUUUUUGAUAAUUGAAUAGAUAGAGAUAAUUUUGAGAUCGGUAGGAGAACAAAAUUGAGGAAAAGCACGAGAGCAACAGCGAUGCGGUGAACGCCGGCGACGACAAGCGAUGGCUGGGCGAGUGUCCAGUAAGGAGCGCGAGACGAGCUCGCCGAGAAAUGCCGAUAACCUAUCACGCGAAAUCACGUCAACAUCCACGUCCGAGUCAAAUAACGACGUGGCUCAAGAGAAGCUAGCGAUAGAAGAACGGCUGGCUGCUAAAAUGUUUUCCUACGAAAUUAUCUGUUUUCUCUUUGCGAUUACUUUUACCGCUAUGGCUGCUCUGCACAGUUCACCCCCCAAACUUUCCAAGCCUCCCAUAGCGAAACCUUUUUUUGAUCAAAACUCGGUGAUACUGGACUUCUAUAAAGGUCAUCUAGAUGCAAUGAUUGAGAGACUAACGCAAGCAGAUUUUAGCUUUAUUAUGUAUUACGCUCCCUGGGAUGCAGAAAGUCAGGCUCUUCGGCACGAAUUUGAAAGCGUUGCUCGGUUUUAUCAUCCACAGAUAUUUUUUGCAGCCAUUAAUUGUUGGCAUCCUGAUUCAGAGUGCAGAGCCCAGUAUAAUAAAAUCCAUGGUUAUCCAGUGUUAAUGUUGUAUCCAUCCAGAGAUUCUGGUAUUAAUUAUAGAGGAAUUCGUACGGCACCAUAUAUGAUUCGUUUUCUGGAUGCAUUUAUGAAUCCUAUUAUUAGAAUAAUACAUAAAGAACAAUUAAUGGAAUUGUUGGUUGCCUAUGAUGCAGUGGUUGUUGGAUAUUUUAAUUUUACACGAUUGGAUAAAACUCCUGGAUAUAGAGAAUUUUAUAAGGCCGCAAUACGAUCGUUAGAAAGAGAUCCUAAUAGAGAAUUAGUAUUUGCCAUAGUGACUAGUGCAUUAUGCAGCAAAUUGCAUUACGGAGUUCACAAGUUUCCAUCAGCAAGCUUGCUUAUGUGGAAUGAAUCUUUAAGUUAUCCGGAAAGCAAUGAAUGGACUUCCGAGAACAUCCUAAAUUGGAUCAGCAAUUCUAUUCAUCAACCAUCUCUCUGGCUGCAACCUCCCGGAAUUAAAGCGCUCACUCUCGCGCCCUAUCUCCGCGAAGGACCAGUUUUAUUUCUCUUUACACCACGAAAUCCACUUCAUAUGGAAAAUUAUAUUUACAAUUUGAUAAGAGAGAUCGGCUUACAGUAUUAUAACUGUGCAGAUAGUAUGUUAGUGAAGGAUAUAAUCGCACGUCUAGAAGCAAAACGACGUACGGCAGUGAUUCGACACUUUUCUAGAAAUCAAGAAUGCGCUGAUCUAAAGAAAAACAGAAUUUAUACCAAGCAAAUAAAGGAAUCAGUUACUAGCAUAUCAAUUCAGAAAUGGAUCAAUAAUAGUUGUUGUGCGAACGUGGCAAUGAAUAAAUGUCUCUUGUGCAAAACAAAAGUGAUGAACCCAUUAGAGAAAGAAAGCUGUACAGUUAUUUCUAAAAAAUUUGUCUGCAAAGAGACCGAUAUAUUUAUGACUCCUGCUACGAUUAGACAACAUGAAAAACAGAUAUAUAAUUAUAAUAAAAAUUAUGUGUCAAUAAAAUUACAAGAGUCAACAUUAAAAAGGCUGCAUGCAGGUAUAGAAUAUAAAUCAUCAUUGUUGAAGGAAGAUAAUGAUUCGCGAUCUGCAAACAUGGUGAGAAGAGAUUUUUUAAAAGGUGAUUGCAGAAGAUGGUUGGCUGGGAAUGAUUAUCAUCCAUCAUUAUUCCCACGAGAUUCUCCGAGGCAAUUUAACUUCAGUUUAAAAGAAUCAGUCUGCAAAACCAACAAGACAUUAGCAUUAAUAGCUAUCGACAGUUUGCAUUAUUUCCAUUUUGCAGAUCAUCUUGGGAUUGAUAUUUCAAAACGGAAAAAUAAAACCACUGUUGUCAUCAUGGAUGCUGCAUUGGAGAGUCAAUACAUCAUGCAUCAUGAGUUUAGUGAGUACGCUCUCGUCGAUUUUAUAAACAAUUAUACACAAGGUUUGUUACAGCGAACAUUGCGUUCGGACAAUUCAAAGCGUUAUAGAACACAGAAAUUGCUUGAUGAAGUCAAUAGUAAUAAUGCAGAUUUGCGUUCAAAGAUUUGUGUACCAGAACUAACAACAAAAACAUUUUUGGAUGCUAUAUUGGAUCCAUCUAAGGACGUUGUUAUAAUGUAUCACUCUCCUUACUGUGGAUUUUGUAGUGCUAUAUCGUAUGUAUAUUUAACAGUAGCAUAUUACUUAUCCAAUAUGAAUCAUCUAACUUUUGUAAGAGUUGAUGGAGACAACAAUGAUUUACCUUGGGAAUAUAGUAUGAAUCGUUUUCCAUCUAUUUUAUUCUUUCCUGCAAAAAGGAAGGACGAUAGUACUGUAUUUCCAUUUUCUGUUCCUAUUACCAUUCCAAACUUGCUGAACUUUGUGCUGGCGAACUUGGACAGUGAUUCCCACAUCGAAGCUCUGACCAAUAUCUGUCAGAUGGGAACUGGUGAAGCGCCGAAUAAGUGUAUCGCUAGAACUCGAAGACUGUGCUUAGAUAUUAUCGAGCAACUUCUACAGAAUUACAGAAAGUUAAGAAGACAUCUAAGCUUCCUAGAUAAGAAAAUUGCUCGCAAUAAACGUAAAAUCAUUUUAUUUAAAUUAGAACAUAUCAAGGAUAUUCAUCUUAUUUUGGGCUCUACUAUAGAUCUUAGUAAGGAUCGAAAGAAGGCGCAAUUGAUUAAGAGAAAAUUUUUUAAAUACUACAGCACUAUUAGGUCGUUAAAAAUAGACGAGAAAAUAGAAAAACAAAGUUAUAAAUCUCAGGAUGUUAUACAUGCACCAACUGUUAAACGAGAGAGAAUAAGAAGCGAAUUGUGAUAUAGACUCCGCCUUGACGCAAGAUAUGUCCAUGUGAAAGCAGAUAUUGAUAUCUUGAGAUCUCCACGAAAGAAAAAAAUUGUGGAAGUCCGCUGGACGUAACAAAAUAAAGUCGACAAAUUUAAAACGAA